RNAcentral lists this transfer RNA (85 nucleotides) under Verrucomicrobiota bacterium. RNAcentral describes it as "Verrucomicrobia bacterium tRNA-Leu". It matches the Rfam family "tRNA". From Rfam's summary of the family: Transfer RNA (tRNA) molecules are approximately 80 nucleotides in length. Their secondary structure includes four short double-helical elements and three loops (D, anti-codon, and T loops). Further hydrogen bonds mediate the characteristic L-shaped molecular structure. tRNAs have two regions of fundamental functional importance: the anti-codon, which is responsible for specific mRNA codon recognition, and the 3' end, to which the tRNAs corresponding amino acid is attached (by aminoacyl-tRNA synthetases). tRNAs cope with the degeneracy of the genetic code in two manners: having more than one tRNA (with a specific anti-codon) for a particular amino acid; and 'wobble' base-pairing, i.e. permitting non-standard base-pairing at the 3rd anti-codon position. The record is from RNAcentral. Lineage: Bacteria; Pseudomonadati; Verrucomicrobiota.
GCCAGGGUGGCGGAAUUGGCAGACGCGCCAGACUUAGGAUCUGGUGCCGAAAGGCGUGCAGGUUCGAGUCCUGUCUCUGGCACUA